GCGAGAGUGGCGGAAUGGCAGACGCGCAAGGCUCAGGACCUUGUGAAGGCAACUUCGUGGGGGUUCAAGUCCCCCCUCUCGCACCA
Molecule: transfer RNA, 86 nt
Filed under: bacterium
Lineage: Bacteria
Also listed under: 4 other names
Description: tRNA-Leu
Rfam family: tRNA
About the family: Transfer RNA (tRNA) molecules are approximately 80 nucleotides in length. Their secondary structure includes four short double-helical elements and three loops (D, anti-codon, and T loops).
Source: RNAcentral